CUACGUGCCAGCAGCCGCGGUAAUACGUAUGUCACAAGCGUUAUCCGGAUUUAUUGGGCGUAAAGCGCGUCUAGGUGGUUAUAUAAGUCUGAUGUGAAAAUGCAGGGCUCAACUCUGUAUUGCGUUGGAAACUGUGUAACUAGAGUACUGGAGAGGUAAGCGGAACUACAAGUGUAGAGGUGAAAUUCGUAGAUAUUUGUAGGAAUGCCGAUGGGGAAGCCAGCUUACUGGACAGAUACUGACGCUGAAGCGCGAAAGCUAGGGGAGCAAACAGGAUUAGAUACCCUGGUAGUCCUAGCUGUAAACGAUGAUUACUGGGUGUGGGCAUGAAGAGUGUCCGUGCCGAAGCAAAUGCGAUAAGUAAUCCGCCUGGGGAGUACGGCCGCAAGGCUGAAACUCAAAGGAAUUGACGGGGACCCGCACAAGCGGUGGAGCAUGUGGUUUAAUUCGACGCAACGCGAGGAACCUUACCAGAUCUUGACAUCCUG
This 488-nucleotide ribosomal RNA is filed under the name uncultured bacterium. RNAcentral's name for it is "bacterial SSU rRNA". It matches the Rfam family "Bacterial small subunit ribosomal RNA", at positions 501 to 991 of the family's 1533-position model. The record is from RNAcentral.